This 493-nucleotide ribosomal RNA is filed under the name uncultured bacterium. RNAcentral describes it as "partial 16S ribosomal RNA". It matches the Rfam family "Bacterial small subunit ribosomal RNA", at positions 29 to 507 of the family's 1533-position model. The record is from RNAcentral.
ACGAACGCUGGCGGCGUGCUUAACACAUGCAAGUCGAACGGUGAAGCGCCUUCCUUUUUGGUGGGUGUGGAUGAGUGGCGAACGGGUGAGUAACACGUGAGUAACCUGCCCCCUUCUUCUGGAUAACCGCAUGAAAGUGUGGCUAAUACGGGAUAUUCUGGGUCUGUCGCAUGAUGGGUCUGGGAAAGAUAUUGUUUCGGUGGGGGGUGGGCUCGCGGCCUAUCAGCUUGUUGGUGGGGUGAUGGCCUACCAAGGCGGUGACGGGUAGCCGGCCUGAGAGGGUGGACGGUCACACUGGGACUGAGACACGGCCCAGACUCCUACGGGAGGCAGCAGUGGGGAAUAUUGCACAAUGGGCGCAAGCCUGAUGCAGCGACGCCGCGUGAGGGAUGGAGGCCUUCGGGUUGUGAACCUCUUUCGCCAGUGAAGCAGGCCUGCCUCGUUUGUGGGUGGGUUGACGGUAGCUGGAUAAGAAGCGCCGGCUAACUACGUG